Molecule: long non-coding RNA, 1852 nt
Filed under: Homo sapiens (human)
Lineage: Eukaryota; Metazoa; Chordata; Mammalia; Primates; Hominidae
Description: HSALNT0236463
Source: RNAcentral
AGCUGGGCACCCUAGUAGGGACGGCUCCUCCUAGUGUUCAGUUUGCACCUGGUAAUGUUUUGGCACCAUCCGUCUACUACUAAGAGGGAGGUCUUUUUUCUAGAUGAGGAAACUGAAGCUUGGAAAGAGUCCAGCCCAGAACGAGGAAAAUGCUCCCUGGCCCCAUUGGUAUUGGACUUGGCCAUGACUUACUCUGGCUAAUGGGAUAUGAACCAGUGUGACAUGAACAAAGAUUUGAAAUAUAGUUGGUAGAAAUCUCCUCUAGUGCUUCUGCCAUGACCAUGAGAGGAAUAAGCCCUAGCUAGCUGGCUGAUCCCAGAAGAAUGAGAGCUGUGGAUUGGAGCCACUCCAGCCUAUCUGUGGGAGUGUAGAAGAAAAAGAAAACUGUCCCAACUGACUGCACACCUUUGAGCCUGAAAAUAAUGCUUAUUGUUGUAUGUCAUUGAGUUUUGGGGAUGUUUGUCAUGUAGCAAUUGCUAACUGAUACAAUAUAUAUGUUUACUUUUUUUCUAAACUGUAUGGGAACAUAUAUACAAUAUUGUGCACCUUGCUUUCUUCACAUAAUGUGUAUUGGAAAUUGCUCUGUAUUGGUACAUGUACAUGUCUCUCAAUUUUAAUGGCUGUAUAAUAUUCCAUCUUAUAGUAUGUUCCUUAUUGAUGGAUGGGUAGGUUGCUUCUGUCUUUUCCUAUUAUAGGUUGAAUAUCCCUUAUCUGAUGCUUAGGACCAGAAAUGUUUUGGAGUUCAGAUUUUUUUGGAUUUUGGAAUGUUUGCAUUAUGUACUUACUAGUUGAGCAUCCCUAAUCCAGAAAUCUGAAAUCUGAAAUAUUUCAAUGAGCAUUUACCUUUGAGUGUCAUGUUGGUACUCAAAAAGUUUUGAAUUUUGAAGCAUUAAAUGAUGAUUUUGGAUUUGGGAUGCUCAACUUGUACAACAAUAUUGUAAUGACUCAUAAUUAUAUUGCAGGACAAGUACCUGGAAGGAGAAAUUACCAGGUCAAAGAGUAUGUUCAAAACUGUUGAACCAAUUUACACUCUCACCAUCCGUAUAUGACAACUGUUGUUUCCCCACAAUAGGGAUAUUACUUUGAGGAUGCCUCUUUACUGCAGCAGAAGUUCUGAUUCUUGUUCUACAGCCCCACAGUCUUCAAACCUCACCAUGAGGUUUCAAAAAGCAGUGUUUUCCCAGAGUGGUAUGUGAUUUUAGGUGGUACCAGAGACGAUUUUUAAAAGGUACACAGAAAAGAUACUAAUGAACAAUGAAUCACGCAGUGAUAAAAUGAUUCACUUUCCAAAUCUCUACUGCUCCUCUGAUUCCAUCAGGGAGAAAGUCCCAGCUGGAUGCUGAUGUAUUUUAACACUUCUCUAGCAGUUGCUAAUUUUCCCUUGAACUCAGAGCCUUCGGUGGGCAGUAGUACUUAGCUUUCACUGGAUUCAUUAAAAAAAAUUAAUUUGUUUUUAAUGGACAAAUAAAAACUAAAUAUAUUUAUCAUGUACAAUGUGAUGUUUUGAAAUGUAUAUGUGGUGGAAUGACUAAAUUGAGUUAUUUAACAUACGCAUUACUUCACAUCCUUACCAUUUUUUUAUGGUAAGAACACUUAAAAUCUACUGUCUUAGCAUAAUUUUCAAGAAUACAAUACAUACUUAUGGUCACUAUGUUGUACAAUAGACCUCUUGAACUCAUUCCUCGUAUUUAACUAACAUGUUGUAUCCUUUGACCAAUCCUCAUUUCCUGGUAAUCACUGUAUUCAUUUUUUACCAGUUAAUUUUAUUUACUGGCUAAUGUUCCUGAUUUUUCUUUGUUGGAGAGUGAUUGCAAAUUUCCUUUGAAAAUAAAUUUAUUUCAUUACAAAAAGC